GACGAACGCUGGCGGCGUGCUUAACACAUGCAAGUCGAACGGAAAGGCCCUGCUUUUGUGGGGUGCUCGAGUGGCGAACGGGCGAGUAACACGUGAGUAACCUGCCCUUGACUUUGGGAUAACUUCAGGAAACUGGGGCUAAUACCGGAUAGGAGCUCCUGCUGCAUGGUGGUGGUUGGAAAGUUUCGGCGGUUGGGGAUGGACUCGCGGCUUAUCGGCUUGUUGGUGGGGUAGUGGCUUACCAAGGCUUUGACGGGUAGGCCGCCUGAGAGGUGUGACGGGGACAAUAGGACUAAGGGACGGAGCAGUCUGGAAUGGGACGCAGUGGGGGAGAGUAUGGCGGAGUGGGGGGAAGUGUGAUGCAGAAACGCCGCGAGCGGGAUGACGGCCUUCGAGUGAUAAACAGAUGUCGAAUGUAACGAAGAGUGAGUGACGGUAACGGGUAAAGAAGCACCGGCUAACUACGUG
Molecule: ribosomal RNA, 468 nt
Filed under: uncultured bacterium
Lineage: Bacteria
Description: partial 16S ribosomal RNA
Rfam family: Bacterial small subunit ribosomal RNA
Source: RNAcentral